RNA transcript from Rhinopithecus roxellana (golden snub-nosed monkey), 1500 nucleotides. It is a transcript of the gene named kinetochore-associated protein NSL1 homolog pseudogene, with no coding region annotated. Lineage: Eukaryota; Metazoa; Chordata; Mammalia; Primates; Cercopithecidae. The transcript has a single exon. The record is from RefSeq and is a predicted model, not a curated record.
UUCAGACGAAAAAUGGCGGGGUCUUCUGAGUUGGUGGUCCUUGACCCCCCAUGGGACAAGGAGCUAGCGACGGGGACAGAGAGUCAGGCCUUGGUCUCCGCCACUCCCCGAGAGGACUUUCGGGUGCGCUGCACCUCGAAGCGGGCUGUGACCGAAAUGCUACAACUGUGCGGCCGCUUUGUGCAAAAGCUCGGGGACGCUCUGCCGGAGGAGAUUCGGGAGCCCGCGCUGCGAGAUGCGCAGUGGACUUUUGAAUCAGCUGUGCAAGAGAAUAUCAGCAUUAAUGGACAAGCAUGGCAGGAAGCUUCAGAUAAUUGUUUUAUGGAUUCUGACAUCAAAGUACUUGAAGAUCAGUUUGAUGAAAUCAUAGUAGAUAUAGCCACAAAACGUAAGCAGUAUCCCAGAAAGAUCCUGGAAUGUGUCAUCAAAACCAUAAAAGCAAAACAAGAAAUUCUGAAGCAGUACCACCCUGUUGUACCUCCACUGGACCUAAAAUAUGACACUGAUCCAGGUUCCAUUUUUUUUUGAGACAGGCUGAAGCCACCCAGGCUGAAGUGCAGAGUCCUUGCCUGCAUUAAUUGAAAAAGGAGAGGGAUUUUCCCAAGUUCUCAGGAUGCAGCCUGUUAUCCACCUCCAGAGGAUUCACCAAGAAGUCUUUUCCGGUUGUUAUAGGAAACCAGAUGCUAAACCUGAGAACUUUAUAACACAGAUAGAAACCACACCAACAGAGACUGCUUCCAGGAAAACCUCUGACGUGGUACUGAAAAGAAAGCAAACUCAAGACUGCCCCCAGAGAAAAUAGUAUCCAUUGCGGCCAAAGAAAAUUAAUCUUGAUACAUGAGCUCUUUCUGUUUAUUUUGGGAGUUGAAAAUAGGCGCCAUCAACAUUUAGAUUACAGCCUAAUACCUAGAUAAGACUUCAUUUGAAACAAGAAAUAACUCUUUUACUAGUGAUUCAUUUAUACAAAUAUAGUGUCUCUGUGCAGGGAUAUGAUAUAAUAUUAUAUUUCCUUGCUGUUUUAUCUAUUGUAAAUAAAAAGCAUUUUAAAAAAUAUUGACACAAAGCCCAUCAGUGGGUAUUAAAAAUAUUAAAAGUGCAGCCUUUUACUGUCCUUAAGUGCUAUCAACUCUCAGCUCCCUUGUAGCUUUUGUGGGAUUUAACAAGUAACAAAUUCUGUUGUGUUUCCCUGGUAUACAUCUUUCCAGGAAAAAAAAAAAAAGAGAGAGAGAGCUGUAUAAUGAUUUUUCAUUUACGUACUGAAAAGUAGUUAUCAGUUCUGCGCAGCAGCAGAUGCAGUGUUUUUUUUUAAGAUGUAGUGUGAUUUAGCAAAUUAAUGUGCAGAUGAUAAUACUGGCUUUGACUUUGUUACUCCAUGUUCAGCUCAUUUAGGUUUGUGAGAUUAAUUUUAGGACUUUUUGUUGUGUAAGACAAUGAUGACUAUUAUUUGUGCAACAUUACUCUUUGAAAUAAAAAUUGGCAUGUAGCCAAUGUUUCCUGCCC